This 253-nucleotide ribosomal RNA is filed under the name uncultured bacterium. RNAcentral's name for it is "partial 16S ribosomal RNA". It matches the Rfam family "Bacterial small subunit ribosomal RNA", at positions 524 to 776 of the family's 1533-position model. The record is from RNAcentral.
UACGAGGGGGGCGAGCGUUGUUCGGAAUUACUGGGCGUAAAGGGCGCGUAGGCGGCCGAUCAAGUCAGGCGUGAAAUUCCCGGGCUCAACCUGGGGGCUGCGCUUGAUACUGAUUGGCUUGAAUGCGGGAGAGGAUAGUGGAAUUCCCAGUGUAGAGGUGAAAUUCGUAGAUAUUGGGAAGAACACCGGUGGCGAAGGCGGCUAUCUGGCCCGUAAUUGACGCUGAGGCGCGAAAGCGUGGGGAGCAAACAGG